AGAGUUUGAUCAUGGCUCAGGAUGAACGCUAGCGGCAGGCUUAAUACAUGCAAGUCGAGGGGCAGCACGAUAGCAAUAUUGGUGGCGACCGGCGCACGGGUGCGUAACACGUAUACAAUCUGCCCUUAACAGGGGGAUAGCCCGGAGAAAUCCGGAUUAAUACCCCAUAAUACUAGAUGUGGCAUCACAUAAAGUUAAAA
This 200-nucleotide ribosomal RNA is filed under the name uncultured bacterium. RNAcentral describes it as "partial 16S ribosomal RNA". It matches the Rfam family "Bacterial small subunit ribosomal RNA", at positions 8 to 206 of the family's 1533-position model. The record is from RNAcentral.